Molecule: ribosomal RNA, 630 nt
Filed under: uncultured Wolbachia sp.
Lineage: Bacteria; Pseudomonadati; Pseudomonadota; Alphaproteobacteria; Rickettsiales; Anaplasmataceae
Description: bacterial SSU rRNA
Rfam family: Bacterial small subunit ribosomal RNA
Source: RNAcentral
AGUGGCAGACGGGUGAGUAAUGUAUAGGAAUCUACCUAGUAGUACGGAAUAAUUGUUGGAAACGGCAACUAAUACCGUAUACGCCCUACGGGGGAAAGAUUUAUCGCUAUUAGAUGAGCCUAUAUUAGAUUAGCUAGUUGGUAAGGUAAUGGCUUACCAAGGCAAUGAUCUAUAGCUGAUCUGAGAGGAUGAUCAGCCACACUGGAACUGAGAUACGGUCCAGACUCCUACGGGAGGCAGCAGUGGGGAAUAUUGGACAAUGGGCGAAAGCCUGAUCCAGCCAUGCCGCAUGAGUGAAGAAGGCCUUUGGGUUGUAAAGCUCUUUCGGUGAGGAAGAUAAUGACGGUACUCACAGAAGAAGUCCUGGCUAACUCCGUGCCAGCAGCCGCGGUAAUACGGAGAGGGCUAGCGUUAUUCGGAAUUAUUGGGCGUAAAGAGCGCGUAGGCUGGUUAGUAAGUUAAAAGUGAAAUCCCAAAGCUCAACUUUGGAAUUGCUUUUAAAACUGCUAACCUAGAGAUUGAAAGAGGAUAGAGGAAUUCCUAGUGUAGAGGUGAAAUUCGUAAAUAUUANGAGGAACACCAGUGGCGAAGNNGUCUAUCUGGUUCAAAUCUGACGCUGAGGCGCGAAGG